Molecule: transfer RNA, 71 nt
Filed under: Tegillarca granosa
Lineage: Eukaryota; Metazoa; Mollusca; Bivalvia; Arcoida; Arcidae
Description: tRNA-Thr
Source: RNAcentral
GCCUUAUAAGAUCUUAAAUGAUGGUUGCUCUUGUAAAGCGAAGGAGGUGGUAAGAAUUCCACCAUAAGGCA